GUGAAUCAUCGAAUUUUUGAACGCAAAUUGCACUCCCUGGUAUUCCGGGGAGUAUGCCUGUUUGAGGGUCGUUAUAAUAAAAAAUCUAGGCUUCGCUCUUUUUUUGAGGGUGAUCGCGUCGUAAUUGAUCCGUCUUUCAAAGGUUAAUUCAUUUCGAAUUGGCUUAAUAUUCAUCUUUCCGGUACGAUUUAAGUUUAUUUAUGAUCAAUUUUGUUCAAGAACGCGCGAUGUC
RNAcentral lists this unclassified non-coding RNA (232 nucleotides) under Glomeraceae sp. RNAcentral describes it as "partial contains 5.8S ribosomal RNA and internal transcribed spacer 2". The stretch from base 1 to 71 matches the Rfam family "5.8S ribosomal RNA", at positions 84 to 154 of the family's 154-position model. The record is from RNAcentral. Lineage: Eukaryota; Fungi; Glomeromycota; Glomeromycetes; Glomerales; Glomeraceae.